AGCUGGAGUAGAAGACCCUGAUUUCAGUCAUAAGUGUUCAGAGUUCUAGAGUUCCUUUUAUCUGCUCUCGAUCCAGCCAUGCCUCUUCUCACAGUGAAGACAGGAUGAUAGGGAAGCCAUUCGCAAUCUGCCAUGGCACCGUGGAGCUGCAAACUAUUGCUGAAAUUCCUUACAGAAGUUUCGGUCUCUUGUACGAGACUGGCUGAAAUGAGAGUUAAAUGCCAUGUGCCUGAAAGGCCCUGAUACAACCUCUAGCAAAUAAACAGGUCUCAGGACACUCAGCUCUCCAUUUCUCUGAUUGCACUGGGGAGUGCCCAGAAGCUGGUGCUGGGUCUGUGCCUGAAUUGGAGGAAGACAGUACCGGGUGUGGCCAGCCUCUCCUGACAAUGAAUUUGCACGCUGUCAGGAACGUUCCCAGAGAGCCCAGAUUCAUUAUGAAUAACUCUACAAGGACCAAAGCAGGCCUUAAAAAUCAUGAAUGAAA
Long non-coding RNA from Bos taurus (domestic cattle), 484 nucleotides. The record is from Ensembl. Lineage: Eukaryota; Metazoa; Chordata; Mammalia; Artiodactyla; Bovidae.